GUCGAGGGGCAGCGGGUUGAAAGCUUGCUUUCAAUGCCGGCGACCGGCGCACGGGUGCGUAACGCGUAUCAAACCUGCCUCAUACUCGGGGAUAGCCUUGCGAAAGUAAGAUUAAUACCCGAUGUUAUUAGUUCAUCGCAUGGUGGACUAAUCAAAGAUUUAUCGGUAUGAGAUGGUGAUGCGUCCGAUUAGGUAGUAGGCGGGGUAACGGCCCACCUAGCCUUCGAUCGGUAGGGGUUCUGAGAGGAAGGUCCCCCACACUGGAACUGAGACACGGUCCAGACUCCUACGGGAGGCAGCAGUGAGGAAUAUUGGUCAAUGGACGCAAGUCUGAACCAGCCAAGUAGCGUGCAGGAUGACGGCCCUCCGGGUUGUAAACUGCUUUUAGUUGGGAAUAAAAAAAGGGACGUGUCCCUUAUUGUAUGUACCUUCAGAAAAAGGACCGGCUAAUUCCGUGCCAGCAGCCGCGGUAAUACGGAAGGUCCAGGCGUUAUCCGGAUUUAUUGGGUUUAAAGGGAGCGUAGGCGGAUUGUUAAGUCAGCGGUUAAAGGGUGUGGCUCAACCAUACAUUGCCGUUGAAACUGGCGAUCUUGAGUGCAGACAGGGAUGCCGGAAUUCGUGGUGUAGCGGUGAAAUGCUUAGAUAUCACGAAGAACUCCGAUCGCGAAGGCAGGUGUCCGGGCUGCAACUGACGCUGAGGCUCGAAAGUGUGGGUAUCAAACAGGAUUAGAUACCCUGGUAGUCCACACAGUAAACGAUGUAUACUCGCGGUUUGCGAUAGACAGUAAGCCGCCAGCGAAAGCAUUAAGUAUACCACCUGGGGAGUACGCC
RNAcentral lists this ribosomal RNA (831 nucleotides) under uncultured bacterium. Its description in RNAcentral is "bacterial SSU rRNA". It matches the Rfam family "Bacterial small subunit ribosomal RNA", at positions 61 to 886 of the family's 1533-position model. The record is from RNAcentral.